Molecule: long non-coding RNA, 2674 nt
Filed under: Triticum aestivum (bread wheat)
Lineage: Eukaryota; Viridiplantae; Streptophyta; Magnoliopsida; Poales; Poaceae
Description: long non-coding RNA (TAES_LNC025356)
Source: RNAcentral
AGCUUCUUUGAUCCGGUCAUGGUGGAGUAGUUACUUUUGGAUCAUCUCUGGCUCUUCAGGUGUGCUCGUGUGUAUGUGAGCAGGCUGUUUGUUCGUUGUGACACAUUGUUGUAUGGAUGUGUAUGCGUCUUGUAUCGCUGCUCUGAUUUUCCUCUUUUGCCUUCAGAGUCCACUCGGUUUGCCCCUCGCCUUGACACUCGUCUGCGAUUGCUUGAUGAUGCGUCUCCUCUGCACUUCAGGUAUGCCUGUUCCUGCAUCUGCCAUGAUUUGUUUACUGCAGUUUACAUGCAUUGUUAUUAUAAGUAAUUUGAUGUUAAUAUAGUUACGCACAUGACAAAUUUGGGUCAGACGACCUAUUAGUCCAUUACUGCAUUGUUGCUGAUAGCAUAACAAAAUCAGUAUAUGUUACAGAUUAACAAUAAUCAAAUCUGACUGAGACAUGUAUGCGUACCUUAUCUGUUCCUAUUACCUAAUAAGUGUACCAACAUGAAAUGAGUCUCAUUAAGUAAUGGGAACAUCUGUUUUUGUGUACCAUGUGUUUGAUCAAAAUGCAGACAUACAAGGCGUUUGAGUGAGUACCUCCAUAAUUCAACAUAUUCAGCUCGGUUACGACACAUGCAUGUGAUUCUUCUGUUGCCUAUAGCCAAAUCUCUCUAUGUCGUGUGUAGUUCUUGCAUGGUUAGCAAGCUGAAGUGUUGGGUGAUGCUUUUGCAUACUUAAUGAGGUGAAAUGUUGGAUGUUGCUCUUGCAUAAUUGGCUGGUUUAGGUGUAUAAAUUAGAAUCAAACUGAACUAUAACAAUUUUGAGAUCAUGAUUUGGCAUUCACAUGAAACUGAUCAAGUAAAUGGAUGUACUGCGUCACGCAUAUGUACAGAUUUAGGCCAUUUGACCAAAAUAGGUUGACAAGUACAAAACCCUUACAAAGAUGCAUGUUAGUUACACCGGCGCAUACAUGCUAGCAAAUCUCAAGCUGUUUAAAUAAUUGUCUGUUUCUAAUUUCCCGAAGUGUAUAGGGACUAGAACCUUCUGUGCACAAGAAAAAUAAGUGAUUAUGAACUUGUUUCUGUAUACAUGGAUUAUUCAUAGAAUUGUUUAGACUGUUUACUAAAGAUUGCAAGAAAGAACUUGAGACAAUUAAUAAGACAUUAUCCAUUUGAACCACUGAAGGUAAAUAUUUCUUGCUUGGUUGUUCCAGGUAUGUUACAAUAUUUGAGUUUCGUAGCUCAAGAUGUCGAUUCACAUUGUCUUAAUUCCUGCGUGCUGGUUUCUUUCUACCCCUUGGCAGGGAGAUCCAGGAAGGAGGCGAGUACGACGGUGGCAGAGGAGGAGGAUGAAGGAAUAGGCCGGGGAAGUCUAAGAAGAAAAGGUUAGUGGUGCCAUCGUUCUUUUGCUCGCCUCGCUGCUUCCCCAUCCAGACGACGAGAUGUCGCAGUCCCUCAUGUUCACUAACCUCUUCGAUGUCAGGGGCGGCACCGUCGUACUGAAACUCAAGGUGAAGGUUUCUCCGCCCCUGCUCUCACCGUGGGCAUGCAUGGAUUUCUGAUAAGUGACUGCUCUGCCGCUCAUCAGGCUGCCGACCUGCUGGUGCGUGCAAACGUGCUCUACUUGGACCCAGAGUUUGUUGCCGAGAUAGCAUAAGUGGUGAGAUUUGGUUUCGAAUCAUCCGCCAUGAUUCAAAGGAUUCAUUGUUGCUGGCAUGGAUUUUGUUUUAGCUGCACUACACCAAUCUAAGAUGGCAAUAUUGCUUUUUGUUUGUACCUGCUGAUUGAGUAUGUUUUGUAACUGCAGGAAGGCUGUGAAGGACAUAUUUCUUUCUUAUUUUAUAAAGGUAAGGUUUAUGUUCAGUGCAUUUAAUAAUUACUCUCUCCCCUUCAGUAUUUGUGAUAUGGGUAAAAUAGAUAUUAAAGCCUCUUUCUAUAUUGCUUGGUCAAUCUACACUGCAAUUUAUUAAUUUGUACUAACAUAAAGCUGCACACUUGUGUAAGUACUGCUUGAUGUUGGCCAUGAUUAGUUCAUGCUCGUCUUUUCAUUAAAGACAUAUGUUCAGUUGCAAUUUUGGAUAUUUACACAGUUGUAUGUGUUGCUUUUCUAGAUUUAGUUCGUGCAGAAAUUUGGUUUUUGAUGCAUUCAAACAUUAAUAAUCAGCAGCGACAUCAAAGGUGAGAGGUAUGAAUAAGAGCGUCUCUUCUACUGUACUUUUUUGGUGGCUUAAAGUGGUUUCUUCUCUGAAUUGGUUUGGUUUUGCAGGUGAAAAGAAGUUAUGUUGGUAGAUGGUUAUGCAUCUACUGGUUCUGAGAUGCAAGUUGUGACUUGAUAGCUCCCUUGACUCAGAUGUCAUGUCAUCUAAUUGGGCAAUCAUAUUUAAUUGUUGAAUGUGUUCAAUCUGGUUGGGGAUAAUCCACCACCUAAGAGGAUCAAGGUCUCUAAAAUAUUGUUGUUUGUUUUGUUAUCAGUUGUAAAUUCUAUUCCAAGUUCCUUGCUUAUAUGUGUAUGUUCAUCAACAAUUAGAGAAAAAAGAAAUGAAAGGGUCGCUUAUCAAUCUGGCAUCGCACAAACUUCCUCUCAAGAGGCGCCACCGGGUGGCGCCCCAACCCCUAGUGUAAGUGCAGGGGCGGAGCUCUGUAGGGGCUAAACCGGGCCAUGGGCCGCCCAGGAUUUUGACCCAAAUUUUUUU